AAUCUUGCGCAAUGGCCGCAAGGCUGACGCAGCGACGCCGCGUGGGGGAGGAAGGCCCUCGGGUUGUAAACCCCUGUUGCCCGGGACGAACCCCUGGUUUCGACCAGGCUGACGGUACCGGGUGAGGAAGCACCGGCUAACUCCGUGCCAGCAGCCGCGGUAAUACGGAGGGUGCGAGCGUUGUCCGGAAUCACUGGGCGUAAAGGGCGCGUAGGCGGCCUGGUAAGCGGGCGGUGAAAGCCCGGGGCUCAACCCCGGGUCGGCCGUGCGAACUGCUGGGCUCGAGCACUGUAGAGGCGGGUGGAAUUCCGGGUGUAGCGGUGGAAUGCGUAGAGAUCCGGAAGAACACCGGUGGCGAAGGCGGCCCGCUGGGCAGUGGCUGACGCUGAGGCGCGACAGCGUGGGGAGCAAAC
Molecule: ribosomal RNA, 413 nt
Filed under: uncultured bacterium
Lineage: Bacteria
Description: bacterial SSU rRNA
Rfam family: Bacterial small subunit ribosomal RNA
Source: RNAcentral